RNAcentral lists this long non-coding RNA (405 nucleotides) under Monodelphis domestica (gray short-tailed opossum). RNAcentral's name for it is "lncRNA (ENSMODG00000036738.1)". The record is from RNAcentral. Lineage: Eukaryota; Metazoa; Chordata; Mammalia; Didelphimorphia; Didelphidae.
ACCUCAUUGGCUUUGGAGUUUCAUCAACUUCUCAGCAUGUUUCCUCUCCUCAUCACCUAGGAGUUUCAGUGCUCUGGAAGAGUUUGAGAAAUGAUGGAAGAAGUGUGGAACAACACGUAGGUCUGGCUGCCAGUUUCCUUCACCAACAUUCAUAAAUUUGAGGUGCACAGAGAAACUUGGAUUUAUGAUGAGAAGAUUCUGCAAGUUAUAGUUGCAAUAAUCUCUGGCGCAGUUUAAAGAAAGAGAAGCAUGGAUAAAAUUAAAUUGCUCAGAUAAUUGAAAAAAGAAAGAAAUUUGCAAAUUAUACCAUUUCCUUGGAUGCUGCAGUAAAAUAGAGAUACUAUAAUGAGACUCACCACAGGGGGCAGUGGUGAAAGAUAGCCUAUUGACGACUAGAGCACAUUC